Non-coding RNA from Paramormyrops kingsleyae, 577 nucleotides. Lineage: Eukaryota; Metazoa; Chordata; Actinopteri; Osteoglossiformes; Mormyridae. The record is from RefSeq and is a predicted model, not a curated record.
CACUGAGGCCGAAAUGUCAGCAUGGGUCAGUUGCGAAACAGGGUUUCUCUGACAAAAAUGCUUCUGUCUCGAAAUCGGAAUAUCACAGAAAGAACAUUUCAACGCAGAUUUAUUCCAGAGACACGACAUCAUCCAAUGACACUUAACUAAGAAAUUGAGUGAUUAGACAAACCAGUCAGAUGUCAGAAAAUAUACAUCACAAAAAAGUAUGUUCUAGGGCGCCGUCAUGGCCGACACCUGUGUGCCCUAUCUGAGCUUGUUUAUCCGUUACAUCAAGCAGCCUGGCAAACAGCUGUGAACACCCGUCUCUUUCUGCUUGGUCCAAGAAGGACACGUUGAGGCUGAAACGACAAGUUUGUGACAGCCCCUGCAGGAUUGCCACCGCGCUGAAACUCCGAGGCUGUCCGCGGCUGGAACGCCGCUGCGUCACACUGUGAAGAAAAAAAUCACAUGGAGAUGAACUUUACAGAAACGUUCAGCAUCACAUAAGUUCGUCCGUAACUGACAUUCAAGCUGGAUAACGUUACCUUGGCUGUGUCUUGGUUAGUUUAGCAGUUCUUGCGUCCGGUGGUAAGUC